RNAcentral lists this ribosomal RNA (253 nucleotides) under uncultured bacterium. RNAcentral describes it as "partial 16S ribosomal RNA". It matches the Rfam family "Bacterial small subunit ribosomal RNA", at positions 524 to 776 of the family's 1533-position model. The record is from RNAcentral.
UACGGAGGGUGCGAGCGUUGUCCGGAAUUAUUGGGCGUAAAGAGCUCGUAGGCGGUUUGUCGCGUCUGCUGUGAAAACUCGGGGCUUAACCCCGGGCCUGCAGUGGGUACGGGCAGACUAGAGUGCGGUAGGGGAGACUGGAAUUCCUGGUGUAGCGGUGAAAUGCGCAGAUAUCAGGAGGAACACCGGUGGCGAAGGCGGGUCUCUGGGCCGUAACUGACGCUGAGGAGCGAAAGCGUGGGGAGCGAACAGG